UGACAGUAAAGAAGACAGAAG
Molecule: unclassified non-coding RNA, 21 nt
Filed under: Mus musculus (house mouse)
Lineage: Eukaryota; Metazoa; Chordata; Mammalia; Rodentia; Muridae
Description: oocyte_clustered_small_RNA10419
Source: RNAcentral